AGUGGAAGCUGUGGCGUCAAGCCUGUAGACAAAGGAGAAAAUACCUUUUGUCUGCAGAAGGCAGUGAUCCUACAUGAACAUGGAAGUCUCUGUCUGAUUUAGGACAGCUGGCUAAGUCUGAUCGUUCCCCUCCAUACACU
Non-coding RNA from Peromyscus californicus insignis, 140 nucleotides. RefSeq annotates it as small Cajal body-specific RNA 3. The transcript has a single exon. NCBI's taxonomy places the organism in Eukaryota, Metazoa, Chordata, Mammalia, Rodentia, Cricetidae. The record is from RefSeq and is a predicted model, not a curated record.